CACACAUUCAGCGGGGUCAUCUCCUAGAUUGGCAUCUGGACCUGGCCAGCCUUGCCUACACCCUCUAGGCCUCCAGGACAUGGAGACUUCAGAGGAGGCCUGUCUCCCAGAUUAGCCCCAAAGACAACAGGCUCCUGAAGAAGAAAGAGGAGGUGCAGGCACAGCCCAGACCUGGGAUGGGAUGGGCUUCCCCUGAACCAGUGGGGAACUUCCUCCUGGGAAAGCCAUGACAGGGGCAGUUCCUCUCCUGGGCCAGGCGUCAGAGAAUCCGGGCCCCAGCUGUUCCUGCCUGGCUGCCCGAAACCCUGAGCACCCACCGGAGACAGGAGGCCCUGCCUGCUCACUGCCCAUUGUCCCUGCACCACAGUGCUGCUUCCCAUGCGCCUCCUGUUUACACAGGAAGCCCCGCUCUGGGAUGCCACCUCCCUCUCCUGAUGGCUGGCUCCAAGCUUACAUUCCUCACAGCGGCUUCAAUGAGUGGGACUAAAACAGGGUCUCAUUGAGUUGCUGAGGCUGACUUUGAAGCUGUGAUCCUCCUGCCUCAACCUCCCAAGCUGCUUGGAUUAUAGGCGUGUGCCACCACACCCAGCUAUGCACAUGGAUUCUUAGCAGGUGUACUCUCUUGGGUAUAACAACGUCACUAUCACCUUCUGGAGCUGUCAGGCAUCUUUGGAAGGUGCCAAGUGGAGAGGUGGAGAGCAGGUGCCUGAGCCUGGCAACUAUCACAGACUCAUCUUAGAUGUGAAGUGGCUGAACACACUUGAUCACGGGCAGCCUGUUGUCCUGGUGACCAACGACAGCUGGCCUCACUCUUUGGGGUCAGGCUGGGCUGGAGGUGAGGGCCCAGUGUCCUCCUGCCCCAGGAGAUGUGCAAGAGUCAGUUUACAGAAGAGGGAGAUUGAAGUUAACGACUGGCUUGAGCCCCGUCUGGCUCUGGAGUUCAUGCUUUUCCCACACAGAAGACUUCUGAGGAAGAGGGAAGGCUCCUUGUGUUGAAGCAUGGGCCACCAAUCCCAUCCAAUCUGCAGCCUCCCAGGCACCGUGAGCAGUGGUGACUGUUGACGAAGCAUUUGCCGUGGCUGAGCAGGGGCCAAGCCCUCCAUGUGCAUUUCCUGAUUUGGACCUCACAGCAGCUGUCCAGGCACCAUGGAGGCAACUGUUCCCUUCUCAAGGCUGGCGAAGGGGAGGAUUGAGAGAGGCGGGAGUCAAAGGCAUUGCUAGAUGGAUUGAAAAAACAAAUUCCAGUGCUGGGCCUGGAAGCUUCUUAAAAAGUUUUCGGCGGACACAACAUCUUUGUUUGUAUGUGGUGCUGAGGAUCGAACCCGGGCCGCAAGCAUGCCAGGCUGUGUAUGGAAUACACCACUUGGGAACAGACUCUAGGAUUUCAGAAGGACCCUCAGCCGUGGAAGCACAAGGGCUUAUGAGGAAAAGUAAAACCAGGCUCAGGAUGUUUUGGUUCCAUGUGCGAACUGGAGGAAGAAUGCGGCUCGUCUGAGCUCCUGUGCUGGAGAAUGAGCCACAGGCAAGCUCCCUAAUCACCAAACCACAGUAGAGGGUGGGAAAAUGGGGGUUGGCGUGAUGUUGGGCAGGGCAACAAUUUCCCCGACUUCCUUGAAUGCCAGCUUGGCCAUCUAUCCAGGGCAAAGAAUUGUUGAUGAAGAAUCAUUGCUGCUUAGAGUAUGGGUGUUUCAUUCUUUGGGGGAUCAGAGCCCAAACUAUAUGGUCAAUGUGGCCAGUGGGUACCAGGUAACACGCUCUGGCUACCUCUGCCAUACCCACCCAUCCUCAGCAGAUGGACUCCUGGUGAAAGGAACACCUUGCCUCUGGAGGGCUUCCAGAAUAUCACCUCUGUUUUCUUCCACUAUGUUUAAUGAAUUGCUCCUGAGUGUCUACUGUGUCAGGUCCAGGGCUGGUGCUGGCCAUUCAGUAGUGAGCAGAGACUGUCCCUGCCCUUGUAGAGGUCAUAGAUCCAGUGGAGAAAAUAACCAGAUGCUAAAUAAACAUGUAACUAAAACUCUGGUGGGAGGAGGGGAAGGAUGGCAUGGGGCUGUAGGAGUUAUGGUUUGGAAGUGAGGUGUCCCCAAAAGCUCAUGUGUGAGACAAUGCUUCUGGGCUUCAGCUUCAUCCUGGGAGGUCUUCUUCAUUUGACAGGUGGGGAUAAUGAGGUCCAAGAGGAGGAGGGAUUUUCUCAUUGUCACACAGCUUGGGAAACAUGAUGGCUGGUUAUUCCCAUUGUCCAGAGUCUCUGGGCCUGGGCCUUUUUCCUCUCUGUAAAGGCUUUUACAAAAGCUUACAGCAGUUCUCUCCUCUGAGUAGGGGGCUAAGGCCCUCCUCUCUGUCACUCAGUAUUGCCUGAUGGUCUCCGGGAGGGAUUUGCAGGGAGUCCCAGUGCCUUUCCACCCUUAGGCAGAGGUGCCUGGCUGGAGUGUGUGUGGGGCUUCAGGGAACUGUCUUUGGGUUGGGUCUCUCUAGGCUGCUUUCUUUUUGGGCCCAAAGAGACACAGAGUUUGUUAAUUCACUCAGGGUGGCAAAAAAUGUUCGAGACUAGGUGGCUUAUAAACAAGUUCACAGUUCUGAAGGCUGGGAAGUCUGAGAUCAAAACUCCAAGCAAUUCUAUGCCUGGGGAGAGCCUGUUUCCUGCUUCCUAGGUGGCUUCUCACUCCAUCCUCACAUGGCAGAAGCAGCACUCAGGGUCUUCUUCUAUAAGGGACUAGACACAUUCCUGAGAGUGCCAUACCAUGAUCUAGUCACCUCCCAAGGGCCCUUCUCCCUGUUUCCAACACAUAUUGUCAGGUUUUUAGCGUAUGAAUUUGGAGGGAUAUAAACAUUUGGUCCAUAUCACACAGUGAAACUUCACUAUUAGAGCUGUGAGAUCCAGAGUACCCCAAUGUAACAUACUAUGAGCCUUGGUUUUGUCACCUGCAACAUGGAGAUAAGAAUAGGGCUAGUGGAAGCUUGAAUGAAAUCAUGUUUGAGAAGGGCCUGGUACAUAACAGGUGCCCAGCAUCAAUUGCUUUCUUGAAGUUCCCCGUUCGGUCCUGGUCCAUGUAGUCAUCAUGGCCAGUGGUCAAAGGCAUGGUAGCUUCUGGGGUUCUGUGUUUACAGGCCUGGGAAUAAGGGUGGGUCAGGAUUAGCUGGUGGGCUAACAAGGCCUCUGGAGAAAUAGGUCUUCUCCCUCCCACCUCAGUUCCGUUAAACAGGUUGGCGAAGGAGGAGGUGGGCUUAUGGGGCCACAGGCUAGUAAGCCAUAAUCUUCUGGAGCCUUUGCUAGUUUGAUAGGAAGAGGAAGAAGGCUGCAGUAAGUGUCGGAAGCCCCUUCUAAUGAGCAUGAUGGAUGCAGGACGCAGUUCCUCAGUCCCAACUGCACUGGGAUUGGGCUUCUGUCUCCAUGAUGCCCAGCAGGCAGGGCUUUGAGCCUAUGAUGGCAUUGGGGUUCAGACCUUGGCUCAAGGAAUGGAUUAAAGGAACCUGGCUUAGAACAGAGCUCUGGGGGGCUCCCAGCGCUACACAAAAUGAAAUAAAACAACCCCCCAAACAACAAAACAGAACAGAAACAGUUCUUGUCCCAGCCAGGUCUGUAUGGGAAAAGGGGGACAAAUGAUUGCCUGGCUGGAUUUCUGUGGGUACGCACACCAGCUAAUGAAGCUACCUAGAGAAGAAUGCUCCCUUAUAAUGCCCCUUUAAAGCAGAGGAAACUAAGGCACAGAGACCUUGAUUGACAACCAGUCUGUUAGCAGAGCUGCUUGGAUUAGAAUCUGUUUAUGACCUCAUCUUUUCUUCUUUCCUUCCUUUCUUUCUUUUCUUUUCUUUUCUUUUUUUGUGUGUGAAGAAUUUGAUUUUAUUCUAGAAAUACCGAGAAGCCAUUAAUAUAAACUGGAGUGUGAGAUAAUCUGAUUUGUACUUAAAAAGUGUUGGUUUUAUUGAGAUAAUAAUUCCUAUACCAUAAAACUUAAUGCAUUUUAGUUUAUUCAGAGGGUUGGAUGACUGUUACCACUGUCUAGUCCCAGAACAUUCCCAUCAUCUCUGAAAGAAGCCCACGCACAUUAGCAAUCAAUUUCUUGUUUCUCCCUCUCCCCAGUCCUGGCUACUGUAAUCUACAUUCCAUAGCUAUGUCAAUUCUGGACUUUUAAUAUAGAUAUAAUCACUGUGUGUGUAUGUUUGCAUAUGUGUGUGUGUGUGUGUGUGUAUGUGUGUGUGUGUGUAUGUGUGGUGUGUGUUGCUGUACUAGGAUUUGAACACAGAGCUUUGUACAUGUUAGGUAAGCCCUCUACUACUGAGCUAGACCCUCAGCCCCAUAAACACAUUUUAUGUGGGCUUUUGUUUUAUUGUUGUUGUUGUUUCUGUAUCUGGUUUCUUUAAUCAGCAUAUUUCCAAAGUUCAUCCAUACUAGAGCAUGUAUCAGUACUUCAUUCACUUUUUCUUGCUUAAUAAUAUUCUGUUCUAUGGUUAUACCACAUUAGGUUUUUCUGUUCAUCAGUUGAUGGAUAUUUGGGUUGUUUCCACUUUGGGGCUAUUACAAAUAUUACAAGUAUACAGAUUUUUUUGAGUGGAGGUAUAUUUUUAUUCCUCUUGGGCAUAUAUCUAGGCAUGAAAUUGCUGAGUCAUGCAAUAAUCCUGUUUAACAUUUUCAGGAACUGCCAAAUUGUUUUCUUUAUUUCUUUUCUUAAAAAUCUUUUUUUAUUUUUAACUGACACAUAGCAAUUGUGCAUAUUUAUGGGAUACAAUUUGACAUUUCAGUAAAAGCAUUUAAUACAUUAUGAUUAGGUCAGGGUAACUGGCAUAGCUAUCAUUUCAGACAUAUAUAAAUUCUUUGUGUUGAAAUAUGUUCAGCAUUUUUUAUUUGCUCUUGGUCAUUUGUAUAUCUUCCUUGGGAAACUGUCUAUUCAAAUCCUUUCCC
This is a non-coding RNA of Ictidomys tridecemlineatus (thirteen-lined ground squirrel), 4897 nucleotides long. Lineage: Eukaryota; Metazoa; Chordata; Mammalia; Rodentia; Sciuridae. The record is from RefSeq and is a predicted model, not a curated record.